Molecule: ribosomal RNA, 462 nt
Filed under: Streptococcus mitis
Lineage: Bacteria; Bacillati; Bacillota; Bacilli; Lactobacillales; Streptococcaceae
Description: bacterial SSU rRNA
Rfam family: Bacterial small subunit ribosomal RNA
Source: RNAcentral
GACGAACGCUGGCGGCGUGCCUAAUACAUGCAAGUAGAACGCUGAAGGAGGAGCUUGCUUCUCUGGAUGAGUUGCGAACGGGUGAGUAACGCGUAGGUAACCUGCCUGGUAGCGGGGGAUAACUAUUGGAAACGAUAGCUAAUACCGCAUAACAGUAGAUGUUGCAUGACAUUUGCUUAAAAGGUGCAAUUGCAUCACUACCAGAUGGACCUGCGUUGUAUUAGCUAGUUGGUGGGGUAACGGCUCACCAAGGCGACGAUACAUAGCCGACCUGAGAGGGUGAUCGGCCACACUGGGACUGAGACACGGCCCAGACUCCUACGGGAGGCAGCAGUAGGGGAUCUUCGGCAAUGGACGGAAGUCUGACCGAGCAACGCCGCGUGAGUGAAGAAGGUUUUCGGAUCGUAAAGCUCUGUUGUAAGAGAAGAACGGGUGUGAGAGUGGAAAGUUCACACUGUGACG